AACGAACGCUGGCGGCAUGCCUAACACAUGCAAGUCGAACGAAGGCUUCGGCCUUAGUGGCGCACGGGUGCGUAACGCGUGGGAAUCUGCCCUUUGGUUCGGAAUAACAGCUGGAAACGGCUGCUAAUACCGGAUGAUGACGAAAGUCCAAAGAUUUAUCGCCAGAGGAUGAGCCCGCGUUGGAUUAGGUAGUUGGUGGGGUAAAGGCCUACCAAGCCGACGAUCCAUAGUUGGUCUGAGAGGAUGAUCAGCCACACUGGGACUGAGACACGGCCCAGACUCCUACGGGAGGCAGCAGUGGGGAAUAUUGGACAAUGGGCGCAAGCCUGAUCCAGCAAUGCCGCGUGAGUGAUGAAGGCCCUAGGGUUGUAAAGCUCUUUUACCCGGGAAGAUAAUGACUGUACCGGGAGAAUAAGCCCCGGCUAACUCCGUG
This 433-nucleotide ribosomal RNA is filed under the name uncultured bacterium. RNAcentral describes it as "partial 16S ribosomal RNA". It matches the Rfam family "Bacterial small subunit ribosomal RNA", at positions 29 to 507 of the family's 1533-position model. The record is from RNAcentral.